RNAcentral lists this ribosomal RNA (497 nucleotides) under uncultured bacterium. RNAcentral's name for it is "partial 16S ribosomal RNA". It matches the Rfam family "Bacterial small subunit ribosomal RNA", at positions 28 to 507 of the family's 1533-position model. The record is from RNAcentral.
GAUGAACGCUGGCGGCGUGCCUAAUACAUGCAAGUCGGGCGAACGGACGAGAAGCUUGCUUCUCUGAUGUUAGCGGCGGACGGGUGAGUAACACGUGGAUAACCUACCUAUAAGACUGGGAUAACUUCGGGAAACCGUAGCUAAUACCGGAUAAUAUUUUGAACCGCAUGGUUCAAAAGUGAAAGACGGUCUUGCUGUCACUUAUAGAUGGAUCCGCGCUGCAUUAGCUAGUUGGUAAGGUAACGGCUUACCAAGGCAACGAUGCAUAGCCGACCUGAGAGGGUGAUCGGCCACACUGGAACUGAGACACGGUCCAGACUCCUACGGGAGGCAGCAGUAGGGAAUCUUCCGCAAAGGGCGAAAGCCUGACGGAGCAACGCCGCGUGAGUGAUGAAGGUCUUCGGAUCGUAAAACUCUGUUAUUAGGGAAGAACAUAUGUGUAAGUAACUGUGCACAUCUUGACGGUACCUAAUCAGAAAGCCACGGCUAACUACGUG